Long non-coding RNA from Syngnathus acus (greater pipefish), 553 nucleotides. RefSeq lists it as uncharacterized. The record is from RefSeq and is a predicted model, not a curated record. The transcript is spliced from 5 exons. Lineage: Eukaryota; Metazoa; Chordata; Actinopteri; Syngnathiformes; Syngnathidae.
CCAGUUCGUCCGCCUCCUGCCAAAGUUUAAGGGCCUACGCUUUGACGUCUUGGGGUGCACGUCUGACGACACCCCUCGCAACAUCUUAUGCAACAGCACAGCCGCCGACCUCGGCCUCGACGGUUCAAUGACGUGAGUCGGACUUGAUAAGACGUUUCUUGCCGAAAAGCCUCCUCCUUACUAAACAAACUACUUCCGCAGGGUCCGGUGUCCACUGGGCUGCGCCGAAGCCGGCUAUAAGGUCUACGGAACACGGAUCUACGAACAGGACUCCAACAUCUGCGCGGCUGCUAUUCACUCGGGCAUCAUUGAGAUUGGAGGAGAUGUGACUUUGCUGAAGAGACUGCCACAGAAAGCCUACAACGGCUCCACCUGUAGCGGAAUCGUCUCGAAAGUAUAUGUUAACGAAUUGGCUCCGUUUCCGUCUUACACUUUUGCUGCCACGGAGCCGAGAUGCUUGGGACCUGACUGGGAGGAGUUUGCGGACUUCUGCUACAAACGUUUUGAUGAUACGAAGAAGUGGUACGACGCUCAACACUUCUGCAGGAGUCUC